ACGUAGGCUGUGCUGAAUGGAGUUGAUGGAAGAUAUGAACCUUCCAUGGAAGAGCCUUGGUGGCGCAGCAGACUAAUGUGCUGUUAACUAGCAUCAGCUGCCUGCAAUUACUGCAAGUUCAAAUCUCACCAGGCUCAAGGUUGACUCAGCCUUCCAUCCUUUCGAGUCAUGUCACCUACCUAAAAAAGCAAAGUAAGAGAGAGAAAAAGAAAAGCAAGUCAGAACAACAAGGAAAAAUCAUCUAUCCAUCGUCUCUUGCCCGCUUCAAUACUUUAAUUGGGCAGAAGAACUAAAAGGGAAGCAGAACCGAAAUCCCACCAGCACUGCAGUCAUGUGGAACUUGAAUUGACAAGCCAUACGACAAGCCAUUUCUAACAGCAGUCGGCAAGCAGAAACCUGAGCAAUGCUCAGCUACAAUACUCUUCAUUCAAAGCAAGAUUUGUGAAGAAGUUAUAUAACAUCGUUAUAAACAGCAAGGCAUGAUCUGAUUAAAGCGAAAAAGAAAAUUGGAAUGAUCUUAAUAGGCGUAGUUCAUCAAGAUGACCAGGGAGCCAAAGAAAACAUAAAAUGUAGUAAAUAAUAA
This is a non-coding RNA of Pantherophis guttatus, 583 nucleotides long. The record is from RefSeq and is a predicted model, not a curated record. NCBI's taxonomy places the organism in Eukaryota, Metazoa, Chordata, Lepidosauria, Squamata, Colubridae.